UAAAACGUAGGACACAAGCGUUAUCCGGAGUUACUGGGCGUAAAGGGCGUUUAGGCGGGUGAUUAAGUUCGCUAUGAAAGCGCCAGGCUAAACCUGGCGAGGCUGGCGGAUACUGGUCAUCUGGAGUGAGGGAGAGGGAAGUAGAAUUCCGCGUGUAGUGGUGAAAUGCGUAGAGAUGCGGAGGAAUACCAGUGGCGAAGGCGACUUCCUGGCCCUCAACUGACGCUGAAGCGCGAAAGCAUGGGGAGCGAACGGGAUUAGAAACCCCGGUAGUCCAUGCCGUAAACGAUGUGCACUAAACGUUCGGUUUCCGCGAGGGAGCCGGGUGUUGAAGCUAACGCGGUAAGUGCACCGCCUGGGGAGUACGGUCGCAAGGCUA
This 379-nucleotide ribosomal RNA is filed under the name uncultured bacterium. RNAcentral's name for it is "bacterial SSU rRNA". It matches the Rfam family "Bacterial small subunit ribosomal RNA", at positions 521 to 896 of the family's 1533-position model. The record is from RNAcentral.